Molecule: ribosomal RNA, 253 nt
Filed under: uncultured bacterium
Lineage: Bacteria
Description: partial 16S ribosomal RNA
Rfam family: Bacterial small subunit ribosomal RNA
Source: RNAcentral
UACGGAGGGUGCAAGCGUUAUUCGGAAUUAUUGGGCGUAAAGGGCGCGUAGGCGGCUAGAUGUGUCAAAGGUGAAAUCCCUCGGCUCAACUGAGGAACUGCCUUUGAAACUGUCUGGCUUGAGGCCGGGAGAGGGUAGCGGAAUUCCCAGUGUAGCGGUGAAAUGCGUAGAUAUUGGGAGGAACACCAGUGGCGAAGGCGGCUACCUGGACCGGUUCUGACGCUGAGGCGCGAAAGCGUGGGGAGCAAACAGG